GGGUUGUGAGGUUAAGCGACUAAGCGUACACGGUGGAUGCCCUGGCAGUCAGAGGCGAUGAAGGACGUGCUAAUCUGCGAAAAGCGUCGGUAAGGUGAUAUGAACCGUUAUAACCGGCGAUGUCCGAAUGGGGAAACCCAGUGCAAUUCGUUGCACUAUCGUUAACUGAAUACAUAGGUUAACGAGGCGAACCGGGGGAACUGAAACAUCUAAGUACCCCGAGGAAAAGAAAUCAACCGAGAUUCCCCCAGUAGCGGCGAGCGAACGGGGAGCAGCCCAGAGUCUGAAUCAGCUUGUGUGUUAGUGGAACGGUCUGGAAAGUCCGACGGUACAGGGUGAUAGUCCCGUACACCAAAAUGCACAGGCUGUGAACUCGAAGAGUAGGGCGGGACACGUGGUAUCCUGUCUGAAUAUGGGGGGACCAUCCUCCAAGGCUAAAUACUCCUGACUGACCGAUAGUGAACCAGUACCGUGAGGGAAAGGCGAAAAGAACCCCGGCGAGGGGAGUGAAAAAGAACCUGAAACCGUGUACGUACAAGCAGUGGGAGCACCUUCGGGUGUGACUGCGUACCUUUUGUAUAAUGGGUCAGCGACUUAUAUUCUGUAGCAAGGUUAACCGUAUAGGGGAGCCGCAGGGAAACCGAGUCUUAACUGGGCGUUAAGUUGCAGGGUAUAGACCCGAAACCCGGUGAUCUAGCCAUGGGCAGGUUGAAGGUUGGGUAACACUAACUGGAGGACCGAACCGACUAAUGUUGAAAAAUUAGCGGAUGACUUGUGGCUGGGGGUGAAAGGCCAAUCAAACCGGGAGAUAGCUGGUUCUCCCCGAAAGCUAUUUAGGUAGCGCCUCGUGAACUCAUCUUCGGGGGUAGAGCACUGUUUCGGCUAGGGGGUCAUCCCGACUUACCAACCCGAUGCAAACUACGAAUACCGAAGAAUGUUAUCACGGGAGACACACGGCGGGUGCUAACGUCCGUCGUGAAGAGGGAAACAACCCAGACCGCCAGCUAAGGUCCCAAAGUCAUGGUUAAGUGGGAAACGAUGUGGGAAGGCACAGACAGCCAGGAUGUUGGCUUAGAAGCAGCCAUCAUUUAAAGAAAGCGUAAUAGCUCACUGGUCGAGUCGGCCUGCGCGGAAGAUGUAACGGGGCUAAACCAUGCACCGAAGCUGCGGCAGCGACACUAUGUGUUGUUGGGUAGGGGAGCGUUCUGUAAGCCUGCGAAGGUGUGCUGUGAGGCAUGCUGGAGGUAUCAGAAGUGCGAAUGCUGACAUAAGUAACGAUAAAGCGGGUGAAAAGCCCGCUCGCCGGAAGACCAAGGGUUCCUGUCCAACGUUAAUCGGGGCAGGGUGAGUCGACCCCUAAGGCGAGGCCGAAAGGCGUAGUCGAUGGGAAACAGGUUAAUAUUCCUGUACUUGGUGUUACUGCGAAGGGGGGACGGAGAAGGCUAUGUUAGCCGGGCGACGGUUGUCCCGGUUUAAGCAUGUAGGCUGAUUGUCCAGGCAAAUCCGGAUAAUCAAGGCUGAGGUGUGAUGACGAGGCACUACGGUGCUGAAGUAACAAAUGCCCUGCUUCCAGGAAAAGCCUCUAAGCAUCAGGUAACAUCAAAUCGUACCCCAAACCGACACAGGUGGUCAGGUAGAGAAUACCAAGGCGCUUGAGAGAACUCGGGUGAAGGAACUAGGCAAAAUGGUGCCGUAACUUCGGGAGAAGGCACGCUGGUGUGUAGGUGAAGUCCCUGCGGAUGGAGCUGAGACCAGUCGAAGAUACCAGCUGGCUGCAACUGUUUAUUAAAAACACAGCACUGUGCAAACACGAAAGUGGACGUAUACGGUGUGACGCCUGCCCGGUGCCGGAAGGUUAAUUGAUGGGGUUAUCCGUAAGGAGAAGCUCUUGAUCGAAGCCCCGGUAAACGGCGGCCGUAACUAUAACGGUCCUAAGGUAGCGAAAUUCCUUGUCGGGUAAGUUCCGACCUGCACGAAUGGCGUAAUGAUGGCCAGGCUGUCUCCACCCGAGACUCAGUGAAAUUGAACUCGCUGUGAAGAUGCAGUGUACCCGCGGCAAGACGGAAAGACCCCGUGAACCUUUACUAUAGCUUGACACUGAACAUUGAGCCUUGAUGUGUAGGAUAGGUGGGAGGCUUUGAAGCGUGGACGCCAGUCUGCGUGGAGCCAACCUUGAAAUACCACCCUUUAAUGUUUGAUGUUCUAACGUUGGCCCCUGACCGGGGUUGCGGACAGUGUCUGGUGGGUAGUUUGACUGGGGCGGUCUCCUCCCAAAGCGUAACGGAGGAGCACGAAGGUUAGCUAAUCCUGGUCGGACAUCAGGAGGUUAGUGCAAUGGCAUAAGCUAGCUUGACUGCGAGCGUGACGGCGCGAGCAGGUGCGAAAGCAGGUCAUAGUGAUCCGGUGGUUCUGAAUGGAAGGGCCAUCGCUCAACGGAUAAAAGGUACUCCGGGGAUAACAGGCUGAUACCGCCCAAGAGUUCAUAUCGACGGCGGUGUUUGGCACCUCGAUGUCGGCUCAUCACAUCCUGGGGCUGAAGUAGGUCCCAAGGGUAUGGCUGUUCGCCAUUUAAAGUGGUACGCGAGCUGGGUUUAGAACGUCGUGAGACAGUUCGGUCCCUAUCUGCCGUGGGCGCUGGAGAAUUGAGGGGGGCUGCUCCUAGUACGAGAGGACCGGAGUGGACGCAUCACUGGUGUUCGGGUUGUCAUGCCAAUGGCACUGCCCGGUAGCUAAAUGCGGAAGAGAUAAGUGCUGAAAGCAUCUAAGCACGAAACUUGCCCCGAGAUGAGUUCUCCCUGAGACUUUAAGUCUCCUGAAGGAACGUUAAAGACGAUGACGUUGAUAGGCCGGGUGUGUAAGCGCAGCGAUGCGUUGAGCUAACCGGUACUAAUGAACCGUGAGGCUUAACCUUACAACGCCGAAG
Molecule: ribosomal RNA, 2923 nt
Filed under: Klebsiella pneumoniae
Lineage: Bacteria; Pseudomonadati; Pseudomonadota; Gammaproteobacteria; Enterobacterales; Enterobacteriaceae
Also listed under: 12 other names
Description: bacterial LSU rRNA
Rfam family: Bacterial large subunit ribosomal RNA
Source: RNAcentral